CCUACGGGAGGCAGCAGUGAGGAAUAUUGGUCAAUGGGCGGGAGCCUGAACCAGCCAAGCCGCGUGAGGGAAGAAGGUACAGCGUAUCGUAAACCUCUUUUGUCAGGGAACAAAGGCGGGGACUAGUCCCCGGAUGAGGGUACCUGAAGAAAAAGCAUCGGCUAACUCCGUGCCAGCCGCCGCGGUAAUACGGAGGAUGCGAGCGUUAUCCGGAUUUAUUGGGUUUAAAGGGUGCGCAGGCGGCCUGUUAAGUCAGCGGUAAAAGCCCGGGGCUCAACCCCGGCGAGCCGUUGAAACUGGCGGGCUGGAGUUGGAGAGAGGUACGCGGAAUGCGCGGUGUAGCGGUGAAAUGCUUAGAUAUCGCGCAGAACCCCGAUGGCGAAGGCAGCGGACCGGCUCCACACUGACGCUGAGGCACGAAAGCGUGGGUAUCGAACAGGAUUAGAUACCCUAGUAGUC
Molecule: ribosomal RNA, 459 nt
Filed under: uncultured bacterium
Lineage: Bacteria
Description: partial 16S ribosomal RNA
Rfam family: Bacterial small subunit ribosomal RNA
Source: RNAcentral